This 483-nucleotide ribosomal RNA is filed under the name uncultured bacterium. RNAcentral's name for it is "partial 16S ribosomal RNA". It matches the Rfam family "Bacterial small subunit ribosomal RNA", at positions 28 to 507 of the family's 1533-position model. The record is from RNAcentral.
GAUGAACGCUGGCGGCGUGCCUAACACAUGCAAGUCGAACGGAGUCGUUUUGGAAAUCUCUUCGGAGAUGGAAUUCUCGACUUAGUGGCGGACGGGUGAGUAACGCGUGAGCAAUCUGCCUUUAAGAGGGGGAUAACAGUCGGAAACGGCUGCUAAUACCGCAUAAAGCAUUAAAUUCGCAUGUUUUUGAUGCCAAAGGAGCAAUCCGCUUUUAGAUGAGCUCGCGUCUGAUUAGCUAGUUGGCGGGGUAACGGCCCACCAAGGCGACGAUCAGUAGCCGGACUGAGAGGUUGAACGGCCACAUUGGGACUGAGACACGGCCCAGACUCCUACGGGAGGCAGCAGUGGAGAAUAUUGCGCAAUGGGGGAAACCAUGACGAAGCAACGCCGCGUGAUUGAAGAAGGCCUUCGGGUUGUAAAGAUCUUUAAUCAGGGACGAAACAAAUGACGGUACCUGAAGAAUAAGCUCCGGCUAACUACGUG